Molecule: transfer RNA, 72 nt
Filed under: Marmota monax (woodchuck)
Lineage: Eukaryota; Metazoa; Chordata; Mammalia; Rodentia; Sciuridae
Description: tRNA.Cys
Source: RNAcentral
UGUGAUAUACCUCAGUGAUAGAGAGCUGGCAUACAGUGUGCGAGGUCCUGGGUUCAAUUCCCAGUACCAGAA